Molecule: non-coding RNA, 82 nt
Filed under: human gut metagenome
Description: Glycine riboswitch
Rfam family: Glycine riboswitch aptamer
About the family: This family represents the bacterial glycine riboswitch. Glycine riboswitches usually consist of two metabolite-binding aptamers domains with similar structures in tandem.
Source: RNAcentral
UCACUCUGGAGAGUUCCCGCAGGGGACGCCGAAGGUGUACGGCGGCUUGCCGCCAAUCUCUCAGGCAAACGGACAGAGUUUU